GACGAACGCUGGCGGCGUGCUUAACACAUGCAAGUCGAACGGAAAGGCCCUGCUUUUGUGGGGUGCUCGAGUGGCGAACGGGUGAGUAACACGUGAGUAACCUGCCCUUUACUUUGGGAUAACUUCAGGAAACUGGGGCUAAUACCGGAUAGGAGCUCCUGCUGCAUGGUGGGGGUUGGAAAGUUUCGGCGGUUGGGGAUGGACUCGCGGGUUAUCAGCUUGUUGGUGGGGUAGUGGCUUACCAAGGCUUUGGCGGGUAGCCGGCCUGAGAGGGUGACCGGGCCACGUGGGAGACGGCUACGGGCGGCAGCCCUAAGGGAGGGAGGGCGGGGGGAGCGAGGCAGAAGGGGCGAAGCCGCGUGCAGGAAAGCCGCGUGGGGGGUUGUGGGCUUCCGGUUUGCAAACAGAUUAGCGUUUACGCGAACCUUGAUGCAAGUAACGGGUGAAGAAGCAACGGCUAACUCCGUG
RNAcentral lists this ribosomal RNA (468 nucleotides) under uncultured bacterium. Its description in RNAcentral is "partial 16S ribosomal RNA". It matches the Rfam family "Bacterial small subunit ribosomal RNA", at positions 28 to 507 of the family's 1533-position model. The record is from RNAcentral.